Molecule: ribosomal RNA, 447 nt
Filed under: uncultured organism
Description: partial 16S ribosomal RNA
Rfam family: Bacterial small subunit ribosomal RNA
Source: RNAcentral
ACACUCCUGCGGGAGGCAGCAGUGGGGAAUAUUGGACAAUGGGCGCAAGCCUGAUCCAGCCAUGCCGCGUGAGUGAUGAAGGCCCUAGGGUUGUAAAGCUCUUUCACCGGUGAAGAUAAUGACGGUAACCGGAGAAGAAGCCCCGGCUAACUUCGUGCCAGCAGCCGCGGUAAUCCGAAGGGGGCUAGCGUUGUUCGGAUUUACUGGGCGUAAAGCGCACGUAGGCGGACUAUUAAGUCAGGGGUGAAAUCCCGGGGCUCAACCCCGGAACUGCCUUUGAUACUGGUGGUCUUGAGUUCGAGAGAGGUGAGUGGAAUUCCGAGUGUAGAGGUGAAAUUCGUAGAUAUUCGGAGGAACACCAGUGGCGAAGGCGGCUCACUGGCUCGAUACUGACGCUGAGGUGCGAAAGCGUGGGGAGCAAACAGGAUUAGAAACCCCUGUAGUCCC